RNAcentral lists this ribosomal RNA (253 nucleotides) under uncultured bacterium. Its description in RNAcentral is "partial 16S ribosomal RNA". It matches the Rfam family "Bacterial small subunit ribosomal RNA", at positions 524 to 776 of the family's 1533-position model. The record is from RNAcentral.
UACGUAGGGGGCGAGCGUUGUCCGGAUUUACUGGGCGUAAAGAGCGCGCAGGCGGCUUGUCAAGUCCGAUGUGAAAGCUCGUGGCUUAACUGGGAAAUUGCAUCGGAAACUGAUCGGCUGGAAGGCGGGAGAGGGUAGCGGAAUUCCCGGUGUAGUGGUGAAAUGCGUAGAUAUCGGGAGGAACACCAGUGGCGAAGGCGGCUACCUGGGCCGUUCUUGACGCUGAGGCGCGAAAGCUAGGGGAGCGAACGGG